Long non-coding RNA from Bombyx mori (domestic silkworm), 3219 nucleotides. RefSeq lists it as uncharacterized. NCBI's taxonomy places the organism in Eukaryota, Metazoa, Arthropoda, Insecta, Lepidoptera, Bombycidae. The record is from RefSeq and is a predicted model, not a curated record. The transcript is spliced from 2 exons.
CUCUAUAUUCUCUAUAAGUUUGGAAAAUUUCAUACUCCUGUGUUCGCGCAAUUUUCUUAAAAAGGGAUACAAAGUUUUUGCUUCACGUAUUAAUAUAUAGAUACCUAGUUCAUUUGAAUUUCCUUUCGGAUUUAACUAAAGCGAAGGUGAUUUAGUGACAUGUGAAAUCAUUUACUAAAUUUUUAAUCCAAAAAAUACCUCUUAAUGUUACCGUAUCGGGGAAUCACCGGCACCAAUAACCAAUCUUUACUUUCAUGAAUGGCUCGUUUACUAACGAAAUCCUUACUUAGAACCAGAAAUGAUUAUUAGUUACCUUUAUAAACCAGUCGAACAUUAAAAUUAAAUCGAUCAUUUUCCUUAAGCCUGUCCUUUAAAACUAGUGUAAUAAAAAUUAUAACCCGUAAGAGAAUUGUUUAUCUAUACUAAUAUUAUAAAGAGGAAAGAUUUGUUUGUUUGUUUGUUUCGAAUAGGCUCCGAAACUACUGGACCGAUUUGAAAAAUUAUUUUUCCAUUAGAAGCCGACAUUGUCCCUGAUGAACAUAGGCUACUUUUUUUUAUUUUUUUUUUAUUUUUUUUUUUUGGUUUCAUGUGUGUUUUAAUGUUUCCGAAGCGAAGCGAGGGCGGGUCGCUAGUUAUUAAUAAUAUCAUAAAAUGCUCGAUCAAAGUAACGAAAUUACUGGAACUAUAAAUUUCAAGAGCGUGACGUCAUUUGGUUGAUAAUAAUUAUUAAUUUUAGGCAGAUAUUUCUUAUGUAACUGGACUUUGAGUUCUCGACGCCCGUUUGUUAUGGUGCAAAUCAAUUGACUUUGUUUAUAGAAGACGAUCAUUUUAAUUGGCUCGUUCCAAUUCUAUUGUCUAAAUUAGUAUGUAGUUGUACCUAUUUAUGCGUUCGGCUUAUGUAAUGAAAUGUUUAAAAAGUUAAUAUUUAAUAUAUUUUUCUGUUCUACACUUCAACUAAUUAUUUAUAUAAUUUUACCUAUCGGCACGCUGCUGUUUAGUUAAAUAUUGGCAGGGAAUUCAAGCCCGGGCAGAGAGGGUUACCCCGAGGCCGGUUUCGCGCCCCGUAAGGGGACGCCUUAGAUAUUACACGUAAAUUAGUUAUAGAACUUAUAGAUAAGAAACUCAGCACACAACAAAAAUGUUUACAGGCGUCGUCGGCCACUAGAUGGCUUCGUUUCGAUUAGUUUCUCAUUGCUCCUGUAGAUAGCAGUAACAAAUUUAACUAUAUUAUAUUAAGUUCUUUUUAAUGAAGCAUUUUGCAAAUUUUCAGAAUAAAAUUUUAUCAAUUUUUCUAUAACAAAUAAAGACUUGUAUGAUUUUUUUUUCUGUGUUUAGCUAUACAAUAAUUAAAUGCCUUAACUUUAACAACAUAUACUUAGUCUGGCCAUAAAUACUGUUACAUUAAAAAUAAACAAAAUGUUACAUUUGAAUUUGGAAUCUGUCAUUUUUAUAUGAUUGCUCAUUGAGUUUUCUCAUUUUGGCGCCAAUACAUUGUACAAUAUUUUGCGAUAUUAAAAUGGAGUGGGGUAAUAAAGAAAACCGAAUCGCUGUGAUUGCAUUACACAAAGUAGGUAUGGAGCCAAAUGCAAUUUUUAAAACUCUCCAUACGCUUGGUAUUCGUUUUUUUUUUUAGUCGGAUGGAGGGCGGGGCAUGUCGGAGUCGAACCGACUAAAACCUCCUGUCGCUCAACAACCCACGUCCGAGCCUCGCAUGAGACAGAACUCAUGAAAAGGCAAGGGGAGGAGAGUGAGCGUUUAGUGCGGAGCACAUCUCUCCCGUCACCCUCCCCCUUGGGACGCCGGGCCAGCGAUCGUCGGCGCCACGACCACCAGCCCUCUCGGUCGGUAGGCUGUCCGAAGCCCGCCUAGAUGGCGCCGAUUUGAAUGGGUUAUCCUACGAAAUACCCCCGCUGGGUCAGAACCAGCGUGGGUCGAGGAUAGCCGGCCUUCCAUCACCCAGAUGCUCUUGCGUAAAACGCGUGCAGAGCAGCUUGCACGUCCUCUUCUUAGGCCCCUUUCGCCGGGCCCCAGACCGACAUAUGAGGGGGACCCGAAACACUUAAGACUUCAUCAAACAGAACGCGUACUUAGCGCCGCGUUAUAGCGUCGCGUUCUAACGUCGCGCUCUUUCAUGUCACACAAAUUGACUUGUCCGACGCUCUUUGACGCAACGCAUUCGCCAAAUCAUAGCGCCUUUCGAUAGCAGUGUGAAAAUUUAAAAGUAUUAAGAUGUCGAGUGAUUCAGAUGUGGAAGAAUUGUUACUUUUAUAUGCUCUAUCACGGUCACAGAAAAAAAGAGUACGGGUGCACGACAUUAAUAAGAAGAGAAAUGAUUUAGGAGAAUAUCAUCGGUUGUGUCGCGAGCUUGCAUCACAUGAAGAUCGUUUUUUUACAUACUUUCGUAUGUCUCAAGUUUUAUUCGAAGAACUACAUGACCUGCUCAUCCCUAAUAUAAGCAAAUGCACCACAAGCUGGAGGACGCCUAUUUCUACAAGAGAAAGACUUGUAAUCUGUCUAAGGUACUUAGCUACGGGUGAUUCACACCAAACCAUAGCCUUCUCCUUCCGAGUAGGUCGUUCAACUGUUGGUGGUAUUGUGAAAGAAGUCUGUAAAGAAAUCUGGAAUACAUUACAACCAGAAUAUAUGCCAUCGCCUACUGAAGAGACAUGGAUACAAUCAGAGAAAGGUUGUAGGGAAACCUGGAACUUCCCGAAUUAUGUCAGUAGUAUCGAUGGAAAACAUGUAGCUAUAAAGUGUCCCAAAAAUAGUGGAUUAGAAUAUUUUUGCUACAAGAAGUUUUUUCUGUAGUUCUUCUUGCUAUAGUUGAUCCAUGUUAUAAAUUCACCGUCAUCGAGGUCGGUAGUUACGGUAGUCAUAGUGAUAGUAGCAUAUUCGAGAACUCAAUGUUUUAUUGCCAAUAUAUCCAUGGAAAAUCUCUGCUACCAGAUAAACCUCUUCCAGGCACCGAGGAGCCCGUUCCUCAUGUAUUUAUUGGCGAUGAAGGCUUUGCUUUAAAAACGUAUUUGAUGUGUCCUUUCCCAAGAGCUUCAGCCACACAAGACGAAAGAAAAACAAAGUUUAAUAAAAGACUUUGCAGGGCACGUCGGGUGGUUGAAAAUGCGUUUGGGAUAUUAGCACAAAAAUGGCGCAUUUUUUUACGCCCUAUUGAUUGUAACGUAGACACAGCAAUUGAUGUUAUUAAAUGAAUGAAUGAAUGAA